Long non-coding RNA from Homo sapiens (human), 1978 nucleotides. The record is from Ensembl. NCBI's taxonomy places the organism in Eukaryota, Metazoa, Chordata, Mammalia, Primates, Hominidae.
CAGGCACUCCUGAUACCCACUGGAGGUAAUGCUGGUUUUGGGAGCACAAUGUAUUGUGAAUAAAAUAUACGAAGAAAAAAGCAUAUAAUCCUCUGGAUAAAUCUCUGAAUAAAAUUUCAGAUGAAAAGAACACUUAAAUGGCCACAUUAUAUCAACAGAAAGACAGGCAUUUCAGGACUAAAAAAGAACAUAACAUAUGGAAUACUGAAAACCUGUACUGUAGCCCAGCGCCAGGCACCAGGUCAGCACACUAAAUGCCCAGAAGGAUGAUGUGUGGGUGAAGAAGCAGAGCAACAUAAUAUGGGAGGGGAACCCCUUCUUGGCAGAUUUUAAAGAAUAAAGUAAAUGGAAGUCCUUGUUUCUUCAAUUAGACAGCAGAAAGCUGGAAUUUUGUGAUCAUAGUUUGCCACAGAAGUCUCAUAAUUGCACCCGCAUCUGGGGCUAAGCAGUAGGAGGAAAUAGAAGAAAAAAAUCAACUCCUGUUUGAGUUGAUCCAUCCUCAUGGGACCACAGCUUCUCUGAGGAGAGAAGAAAGUUUCCAUUCCACAAAGUUUUAGGUACCUGUGGACCCUGCUGCUGCUGCUGUUGCUGCCAUUAACGCCACUACUGCCACGAAUGGAGGAUUUCCUGGCGGCCAGGACAUGAUAGCGUGGAGAUUGUAAAAGAAAAAAAAAAAUAGGCGGGUGGAGAAAAAUGGCGGACUACAAGCCUACAUCCUUCCUACUACCCACAGGAACCCAAAUUUUAAAAACUAUCUGCACACAGAAAAGCACCAUCAUAAGAACCAAAAAUCAGGGUAACUGUGGAAGCUGACAGACAUAAGCCGAAGAAGAAAAUGAUUGGCAUCACUGUAGGUCCUCAGCAAAUCAAAAUGGGUGCCUGGUAAGGUUCAUGGUUAAGAGAUGUGGUGCAGCUGUUCUUUUAUCUCCUACUCAGAGUGGAAAUAGCCUUACCAGAGCAAGGCACAGUGAACAAUAGAAGUAAUAUUUUUAAAAAAUGUGCCUCUGCAAAGGAUUGAUCAGUGGCUUAACAAAGAUUGACAUCAGCGUGACAUUCUCUGCAACAAUGCACAAGGCUGCACAGAAAAAUCUUCCCUAUUUACAAGCACAGUCAACCUUUCAUCUCUGAUUUCCCCUGAAGACCGCAGUGACCCUCUUAAAAUAUACUGCAGGGAGUAUGCAACAAACUUCUUCGAAAGAGAGGCAAUCUAGAAAUAAUUGAGACAAGGGCAGAAGCCAAAGGACAAUGAAAAAAUUUCAGAAACAGGGUUGUUUGAAACUGAAGAUGCUAUACUUGAGGCUUUUUGUGGCAUCGGCUUCUGAAUUCAACUCUGAAGUGAAUGUGUUGCAUUGCUUUCAAGUGUGGUGGUGAUGAAUUACUGAAGAAAUUUCAAUCAGAGGGCAUACAGCAAUGGAGCCCCUGUGGUUUUCAGAAAACUUGCCUGCUUGCUGUUGAAAGUCUGACACAAAGUAAAAGAACUGUGCUGGGACUACUGGUGAACAGGGAGCUAUUUGUGAUAGAGAAAACAUGGUAUUUUUCCUCUGGUAAGAUGUACAUUUAUUAGAGCAUUUAUCAAAUAAUUUGGCUUUUCAAUACAUUAUCAGAAAUUAGUGAGAUUGGUUAUGAACUUAAUUAUGCUUUUCUAAAAAAUGUUUUUAGCCUGCUCUCAAACAUUUUGAAGUGGACCCUUAUUAGAGUUACCAAAUUGUAUGAAAGCACAUUGCCCUCAGCACAUAAGGGUCACAGGUGGAAUGUAGCAGGGUUGAAAUGAAGGAUAAUGGAAAAAUCCACUACUUGUGUUUGCUACUUAAAUGUCAUGGCUGGGUAAAUGGAUUUCUCUACUUCCUAGGACUCGGCUUCUACUACAUUAGUCUGGCAGCAAUUAGAGAGAAGAGGUUGCUCUGCAAAUUGGCUUGGCGAACCAUGUAGUUCAUCUUUUUAUUGUGCAAAACAGAAAAAAUUGCUUCUAAUCAAUCCA